GAUGAACGCUGGCGGCGUGCUUAACACAUGCAAGUCGAACGGAAAGGCCCAAGCUUGCUUGGGUACUCGAGUGGCGAACGGGUGAGUAACACGUGGGUGAUCUGCCCUGCACUUCGGGAUAAGCCUGGGAAACUGGGUCUAAUACCGGAUAGGACCACUUCUUGGAUGUUGUGGUGGAAAGUUUUUUCGGUGUGGGAUGAGCUCGCGGCCUAUCAGCUUGUUGGUGGGGUAAUGGCCUACCAAGGCGUCGACGGGUAGCCGGCCUGAGAGGGUGUACGGCCACAUUGGGACUGAGAUACGGCCCAGACUCCUACGGGAGGCAGCAGUGGGGAAUAUUGCACAAGGGGCGCAAGCCUGAUGCAGCGACGCCGCGUGGGGGAUGACGGCCUUCGGGUUGGAAACUCCUUUCGCUAGGGACGAAGCGUUUUGUGACGGUACCUGGAGAAGAAGCACCGGCUAACUACGUG
This 467-nucleotide ribosomal RNA is filed under the name uncultured bacterium. RNAcentral's name for it is "partial 16S ribosomal RNA". It matches the Rfam family "Bacterial small subunit ribosomal RNA", at positions 28 to 507 of the family's 1533-position model. The record is from RNAcentral.